RNAcentral lists this ribosomal RNA (327 nucleotides) under uncultured Bacteroidota bacterium. RNAcentral's name for it is "bacterial SSU rRNA". It matches the Rfam family "Bacterial small subunit ribosomal RNA", at positions 28 to 351 of the family's 1533-position model. Lineage: Bacteria; Pseudomonadati; Bacteroidota. The record is from RNAcentral.
GAUGAACGCUAGCGGCAGGCCUAACACAUGCAAGUCGAGGGGCAUCAAGUGUAGCAAUACAUGUUGGCGACCGGCGCACGGGUGAGUAACGCGUAUGCAACCUACCCAUAACAGGGGGAUAGCUUUCGGAAACGGAAAUUAAUACCCUAUAGUAUCCAGACUACGCAUGUAAAUUGGAUUAAAACUACGGUGGUUAUGGAUGGGCAUGCGUGCCAUUAGCUAGUUGGCGGGGUAACGGCCCACCAAGGCGAUGAUGGCUAGGGGGGUCUAAAAGGAUGAUCCCCCACACUGGUACUGAGACACGGACCAGACUCCUACGGGAGGCAG